This 1155-nucleotide long non-coding RNA is filed under the name Astyanax mexicanus (Mexican tetra). RNAcentral's name for it is "lncRNA (ENSAMXG00005021807.1)". Lineage: Eukaryota; Metazoa; Chordata; Actinopteri; Characiformes; Acestrorhamphidae. The record is from RNAcentral.
UUACGUAAAAGCACUCAGUGUUUGCUCAUCAGGUUGUUUCUCUUUAAACAGGGUCGAUGGCUGCAUCUCUUUCAGCUGGUGGAAAAGCAAUACCAAGAACAAAUCCUAGCCCAGCAGGAACAGUAUCAGUGCCAAAUACAGCUCAUCCAGGAUGAGAUUAAAGCGUUAGUGCAGCUACAGAACCGGCAGAGCGGCACACAGACACACCCCUCAGACCCGCCCCCGCGUACAGCCAAGGUUUCAGAGCCUCCGGUGGACCUAUCGAUCGAGAGCCAGACCUCUGCCCCAGCUUCAGGACACGUGUCCCCCCAGCAGCUCACAGUAAACCCCCAGGACAGUUCGGACGAAGGGCUCGUGACCGUCCUGAGCAGCGGCUAUGGCACGCUCUCUGCCUGGGAGGCCGGACUGGAGACCGGGCCGCCUGGUGCCACAGAGCUGUGGUCCCCGAAGCAGCCAGACUACAGCCUCCCACAUUCCCCUUUAGUAGAAAUGGCUCUGCACAGGCAGGACAGUGUACUGAGCAGGAUUGUACCUCCCCAUAAUGCACCUCACAAAACUGCCUCAACUGUGCCAAGUCAGACUUCUGACAGACAGAAACUAAACAGUCAACCACUGACCUCCUGGGCUCAGAAGCAAAAACACAGGCAAAAGAAAAACAAACCGGCACAAAACAGAUCACCGCAGACGGAGACGAGAGAGGAGAGAAGGCCAGGUGCUUCUCCCGAGGAACAGAAGGACAAUGUGGAUGAUCCUGGAUGCACUGCAGCCUACUUGAAUCCUGCUCCUCUAAAGAGAAGUGACAGCCUGGUGUCUGAAGCCUCAGGUAAUCAUUGUUCACAACGAGCAAAGGUCUGUUGAGGUCUGCUUUAUAUUCAUUUAUUUAUUUAUUUAUCCCAGUGAAAGGUUUGGACACACCUCCUCAUUUAAUGUUUUUAUUUAAAAAUGAUUUUCCUACAUAGUAAAUGAGUAGUUAAGUGAUCCAAACAAACAUACCAAAAUACUCUUUGAGGAAUUUAUGUGCUCUUGUAUGAGGGUGGUAACUUAUCUUGACUUAAACGAAAACUUAAUGUUGAUGUUUUUCCUUGAUUUUACCAAAUUAAAAACCUCUGGAAUAUAAUCAAGAGGAAGAUGGAUGAUCACAAACCAUCAAACCAC